GUUUCAUAUAAAAUAAUAUGUAAAUUUAAUAUGGUUCAGUUUUUAUGAUAUUUUUUUCAUCCAAAUUCAGUCUAAAAGACAUAUUUGUUGUUACUUUUCUAGUUUUAGAGAUGGAGGCUUUAGAACAAGUUCCAAAAUUUUAAACUUUUCCAUGAACUCUCUGUUAUUUCAAUUUAAAAUUAGUUUCUUGUCUUUUAAACUGUGAGUAAAAUCCUCCCUUUUUAUGCCACACAUAAAAUAUAAUCUUGGCUAAGUUAACUGGUUCAUGCAUCUUUCCCAAAUUAAGUUGUAAGUUGUUCACUAUGAAGUAGUGUUCACAUCAACAUGAAACUUGGUAGUAAAGUUCAUCAUGAUGCAGGCUUUGUAUGUAUGCCAAAUUAGGGGUUUGACCCAGAUUCAGUGGUUCAAAAAAUAUGCAAAUUUUACAGUAGAAGCAUGACAUGUUACCCUAUGGACAUGUAAAGCUAAUUUCUAAUUUAUGUGCUUCAAGAAAAGUUGCUUUUUUGAGAGUACCUCAUUUCUUGGUUUUAUUACUUUGCUCCUUUCAAAGUUUAUUAAAAAUGGUAUCCAUGAUAGUUAUUGAAUCCAC
Molecule: long non-coding RNA, 589 nt
Filed under: Mytilus galloprovincialis (Mediterranean mussel)
Lineage: Eukaryota; Metazoa; Mollusca; Bivalvia; Mytilida; Mytilidae
Source: RNAcentral